UCUCAAAUACCAAGAUUUAAGCUGUUUGGCUGUUCUUGGCAUUAGCCCGUGGUAUUCAGACUUAAUAUUCAGCACCAGACUCACGGCAAAUUUUGGUCCGUCCUAAAUCCUAUAAUGUCGAGAAAAAUAGGUGGACACUCUUGGCAUUCGGGAAUUGCUGUACCUCUUCGACUAAGACCUGAGUUCGAUCCUGCUUCAAACCACGAGCAGAACACCUUUUAUUCUCCUCCCUGGCGCCUCCCUCCUCAGCGCCCCCGCUCUCGUGCAGUCGUGCGAGGUUCAAGCCCGUGAGGCCGUGACCCCGUGGCGGCGCUCUCCCUCCUUCUUCGGCGCCGGCGGUCCUCUCCCGGCCCGCCGCAGCUCCCUUCCGCGACCUCGCCCUCCCCUCUCAUCUCUCUAGUUUCUCUGUGCUGCAGUUACGAGAGACGCGGCCAGGCAGUCGCGGCACCACGCAGCGCCCUCUCGCCUCUUCCUCCAGCUGGGCACGGUGGCGCCCAAGUUUCGCCGCCGAGGACGACGAGGGACAGGACCAACACCCCAGCGUUGAGUAGGCCCAGGAGCCCGUUGUUGUACCGCGCCAUGGCUGCUCUGCUCGGUUUCUCUUCCUUCCUCGUGUGCCAAUGAUUUUCUCCAUGAUUAUCACAGGAUACCAUUUGCUGGGCGUUGACGAUCGCGAGCCCUCCCCGGCGGCGGCCAGCGUCCAACGAUCGUCCUCACCUCCCUCCCAGACGGCGGCGGCAAGCGCUCCGUCGCUUCGCUGCAGUCGCGGGGCCGCAAGCGGGCGUCGCGCCUCCUGGCGGUCCAGGACCAGCUGCGGCAGCUCCACGCGCCGCCGCGAGGACGCCCGGGCCGAUGCCCACGCUGCCGAGAUCUGAGCCGGUCACCGCGCGUCGUGGAUGAAGGCCGAGCGGCGCCUUCUUCCUCGUGCCACCGCGAUGGAGGAUGAGGCUGCCUCCCUCCGCACGCGGCUCGCCGAGGCGGAGGGCGAGGACGCCGCGCUCCACACGCCGAGCCGACCCUUUCUUUCUCUAACUGCCGCCGCCGCUGCUGCACCUUUCUACCUUCGCCCCCCGCUGCCGUUGUGAACGAGAUGCAGGGGUCAGAUGGAGUGACGCCACCGCUAGCAGCAGGCAUGGAUGACGGCUGCCGCCAGGUUGACGAGGCAGGAUGCAGCGGGCAUGGAGGGAUGCCGUCGCCGCCAACAACCCCAGAUGAAUGGUCCACCAAAUUUCGGAGAUGAGCCACCUUUCACACACGUCCAUUACCCGACAGUUGACGACGACAUCCCGUUUGGGAGACAGCUUGCUACUUUGUGCACGACACUGCACCUGGCAGCACCCUGUUUCCGAGGACGUGAUGAGCCGGUGGGAUCCCAGGGAGGUGCACGCCGCUGGGAGAUCGACACGGAGAUCAAAGGACGGACUGUUGUUCCACUGACGCCCGACAUCACCUACUCCGUGCGCUACCCCGACUUCAUGCUGGGACUCCAGUUCGCCAUGCAACAUGCGAUAGCUCGUGUGUGCGAGGCGUACCAUGAUGAACUGCCUCCGGACUCUGUUUUCCGUAGCUUCGGAAGGCGAGUUGUUGGCGGGAAUGCCGUGGGACCGGAGAUCCUAGGCGAGGCACAUGGAGGAUGUUCAGUCUGGAGCAGAACAUGGUGGACAUAGGAAAGAGUCUCUACAACGAGAUGACCCAUGCAGAUAUAGCUGAAGACCAGGUGGGGAUACUCCAAGGUCAAUUGACGUUGAAGACAAACGAGGUGAACCGCAGGGGAGAUGUUAUCCUAAACAUGCACGCGAUCAUGGAGCAGAUUAUGUACGAGAAGGAUCUCCUACAACUUCAGUAUGAUCAGCUCCAAGCCCAGGUCAACAACACCAACCCUGCACUUGCACCGGCACAAGUUCCACCACCCCCUCAGGACGAGGAGAUGGAGCCACAGGAGGAGGAACCUCAGGAGGCGCAGGAGAUGGACACACCUGCCACCCGCACCCGUUCUAGGGCGAAGAACUCCGGGAACACCAACUUCCUUUCACUUCCUUAGUUUCAGCUUAGAGCCCGCCAAACUAUUUAUUAUACUAUAUUCGUUAUCGUGUUAGUCAUUGACCAUGCCGUCGUUGUGGUAGAUUCGUGUUUUUACUUGCAGCUUUUCACUUGUGUUUUGGGCUAGUACGCCUUGUGAACUAUUUGUCUUGGAUGUUAAAAUCCUAGUGAAUGUUUUUGCUUGUUUUAUAGAUGA
Molecule: long non-coding RNA, 2236 nt
Organism: Brachypodium distachyon (stiff brome)
Lineage: Eukaryota; Viridiplantae; Streptophyta; Magnoliopsida; Poales; Poaceae
Exons: 3
Source: RefSeq, a predicted model, not a curated record